This 537-nucleotide ribosomal RNA is filed under the name uncultured bacterium. RNAcentral describes it as "bacterial SSU rRNA". It matches the Rfam family "Bacterial small subunit ribosomal RNA", at positions 102 to 674 of the family's 1533-position model. The record is from RNAcentral.
ACGGGUGAGUAACGCGUGGGAACGUGCCUUCUGGUUCGGAAUAACUCAGGGAAACUUGAGCUAAUACCGGAUACGCCCUUUUGGGGAAAGGUUUACUGCCGGAAGAUCGGCCCGCGUCUGAUUAGCUAGUUGGUGGGGUAACGGCCUACCAAGGCGACGAUCAGUAGCUGGUCUGAGAGGAUGAUCAGCCACACUGGGACUGAGACACGGCCCAGACUCCUACGGGAGGCAGCAGUGGGGAAUAUUGGACAAUGGGCGCAAGCCUGAUCCAGCCAUGCCGCGUGAGUGAUGAAGGCCUUAGGGUUGUAAAGCUCUUUUAUCCGGGACGAUAAUGACGGUACCGGAGGAAUAAGCCCCGGCUAACUUCGUGCCAGCAGCCGCGGUAAUACGAAGGGGGCUAGCGUUGCUCGGAAUCACUGGGCGUAAAGGGCGCGUAGGCGGUCUUUUAAGUCGGGGGUGAAAGCCCGUGGCUCAACCACAGAAUUGCCUUCGAUACUGGGAGACUUGAGUUCGGAAGAGGUUGGUGGAACUGCGAGU